CCUGAUGACUAUAGUGUAAUGGUACCACCUGAUCCCAUACCGAACUCAGAAGUGAAACAUUAUAACGCCGAUGGUAGUACAGGGUUUCCCUGUGUGAGAGUAGGACAUUAUCAGGA
This 116-nucleotide ribosomal RNA is filed under the name Buchnera aphidicola (Stegophylla sp.). The record is from RNAcentral. Lineage: Bacteria; Pseudomonadati; Pseudomonadota; Gammaproteobacteria; Enterobacterales; Erwiniaceae.